Molecule: long non-coding RNA, 233 nt
Organism: Alosa sapidissima (American shad)
Lineage: Eukaryota; Metazoa; Chordata; Actinopteri; Clupeiformes; Clupeidae
Exons: 3
Source: RefSeq, a predicted model, not a curated record
CUUAUCUGAAAAAGAUCAAUAGAAACCUUACUCUAAAUCCCCAUCCAAGAACAAUUACUAUGUGUUCUCCUUUUCUUCAGUAGCAAAUACACUGCCCGUGAAUCAGAAAUAUAUUGGUGUCCCAAUAUAAUGUUUACUCAUAACAGCUGGCAAUAGUGAUUGCAUGCAGAUAAGUAACCGUGCAGCAAGAUUGUGUCAGCUUAAUGUUACAGUUUGUGGCAUGAGACAGUUAG